GGAUGUGAGGGCGAUCUGGCUGCGACAUCUGUCACCCCAUUGAUCACCAGGGUUGAUUCGGCUGAUCUGGCUGGCUAGGCAGGUGUCCCCUUCCUCCCUCACCGCUCCAUGUGCGUCCCUCCCAAAGCUGUACAUUCGGUCAAGGAGGACAACCUUCCCCAAUAGAGGAGGACCAUUCUUUGGUCAAGGACAUAUGAGUAGCUGCGCUCCCCUGCUAGAACCUCCAAACAAGCUCUCAAGACUAGCAUCCUCCUACACAGUUUUGGUGUUACUUAAUGUUAAGAAACUAUAAACUCAUUCAAUAAAAUU
This 309-nucleotide small nuclear RNA is filed under the name Propithecus coquereli (Coquerel's sifaka). RNAcentral describes it as "7SK RNA (ENSPCOG00000004371.1)". It matches the Rfam family "7SK RNA". Rfam says of the family: 7SK was discovered as an abundant small nuclear RNA in the mid-70s but a possible function has only recently been suggested. Two independent studies have found that 7SK RNA binds the CDK9/cyclin T complex (known as elongation factor P-TEFb). Lineage: Eukaryota; Metazoa; Chordata; Mammalia; Primates; Indriidae. The record is from Rfam by way of RNAcentral.